Molecule: ribosomal RNA, 497 nt
Filed under: uncultured bacterium
Lineage: Bacteria
Description: partial 16S ribosomal RNA
Rfam family: Bacterial small subunit ribosomal RNA
Source: RNAcentral
GACGAACGCUGGCGGCGUGCCUAAUACAUGCAAGUUGAGCGAUGAAGAUUGGUGCUUGCACCAAUUUGAAGAGCAGCGAACGGGUGAGUAACGCGUGGGGAAUCUGCCUUUGAGCGGGGGACAACAUUUGGAAACGAAUGCUAAUACCGCAUAACAACUUUAAACAUAAGUUUUAAGUUUGAAAGAUGCAAUUGCAUCACUCAAAGAUGAUCCCGCGUUGUAUUAGCUAGUUGGUGAGGUAAAGGCUCACCAAGGCGAUGAUACAUAGCCGACCUGAGAGGGUGAUCGGCCACAUUGGGACUGAGACACGGCCCAAACUCCUACGGGAGGCAGCAGUAGGGAAUCUUCGGCAAUAGACGAAAGUCUGACCGAGCAACGCCGCGUGAGUGAAGAAGGUUUUCGGAUCGUAAAACUCUGUUGGUAGGGAAGAACGUUGGUGAGAGUGGAAAGCUCAUCAAGUGACGGUAACUACGCAGAAAGGGACGGCUAACUACGUG